This 254-nucleotide ribosomal RNA is filed under the name uncultured bacterium. RNAcentral's name for it is "partial 16S ribosomal RNA". It matches the Rfam family "Bacterial small subunit ribosomal RNA", at positions 524 to 776 of the family's 1533-position model. The record is from RNAcentral.
UACGCAGGGCGCAAGCGUUGUCCGGAAUUAUUGGGCGUAAAGAGCUCGUAGGUGGUUCGGUAAGUCGGAUGUGAAAUCUCCAGGCUCAACCUGGAGGGGUCAUUCGAUACUGCCGUGACUAGAGGUCGGUAGGGGAGUGUGGAAUUCCUGGUGGAGCGGUGAAAUGCGCAGAUAUCAGGAGGAACACCCGUAGCGAAGGCGGCACUCUGGGCCGAUACUGACACUGAGGAGCGAAAGCGUGGGGAGCGAAUGGG